UGAGCAAUCUGCCCUUCUCAUCGGAAUAAGCGUUGGAAACGACGUCUAAUGCCGAAUACGACCUCCUUUCGCAUGAUCGGAGGUGGAAAGCUCCGGCGGAGAAGGAUGAGCUCGCGGCCUAUCAGCUAGUUGGUGUGGUAAUGGCCCACCAAGGCGACGACGGAUACGCCGGCCUGGAGAGGGUGACCGGCCACACUGGGACUGAGACACGGCCCAGACCUCCGUACGGGAGCA
This 234-nucleotide ribosomal RNA is filed under the name uncultured bacterium. RNAcentral describes it as "partial 16S ribosomal RNA". It matches the Rfam family "Bacterial small subunit ribosomal RNA", at positions 118 to 347 of the family's 1533-position model. The record is from RNAcentral.